Molecule: ribosomal RNA, 155 nt
Filed under: Tuber brumale (winter truffle)
Lineage: Eukaryota; Fungi; Ascomycota; Pezizomycetes; Pezizales; Tuberaceae
Also listed under: 1 other name
Description: 5.8S ribosomal RNA
Rfam family: 5.8S ribosomal RNA
About the family: 5.8S ribosomal RNA (5.8S rRNA) is a component of the large subunit of the eukaryotic ribosome. It is transcribed by RNA polymerase I as part of the 45S precursor that also contains 18S and 28S rRNA.
Source: RNAcentral
AAAACUUUCAACAACGGAUCUCUUGGCUCUCGCAUCGAUGAAGAACGCAGCGAAAUGCGAUAAGUAAUGUGAAUUGCAGAAUUCAGUGAAUCAUCGAAUCUUUGAACGCACAUAGCGCCCUUUGGUAUUCCUUAGGGCAUACCUGUUCGAGCGUC